CCUGCUGCUGCUGCGCCUCCUAUAAACACCACACACAGUCAGUCAAUUAUUACGUAAUUUGAUUUGGUGUCUUUCAGUUUUUUUCUUCUUUUUCAUUCUUGUUUUGUGCUACAUUUUAUUUAUAAAUUUUCGUUUCACAAAAAAUUUCUAGUAAAUUGCUUGCAUGCGACCGACUCUCUACUGUUUUGCACCUCUACUCAAACGAGAAAAAUCCGACAGACACACAAGUUAAUACAACAAGAAUAAUAAUAUUAAAAAAAAUUAUAUUAGAGAAAUAAUAAUAAAAAAAAACAAUUGCAAAAGAAAACGAAAAUGCCAGUGUAGCGGAAAAGAAGUUACACAUGAGUGUAUAGAGCAGUGUAGUUGUUAUUAUUUCUGUGGGAAAUGCAAAAAAAGCGAGAAAAUAAAAAAAAAACAAAAUAAAAAAUAGUUAGAAAAUAACAGUGAACGGUUAAAAACAAAAAAAAAAGAGAUUAAAAAAAGUGAAAAGAAAUAAAUGUAAACACGCGUAUGUUUGUGUAUGUGAAGUUAGAUAUAAUACAAUAAUAACAAUAACAACAACGUAAAACCAUAAACAGUUGAGUUCUUGUUUUUUUUACAACUUUUUACUCCUUUUUUAUUAUUUUGUUCGCUUUAUGGCCGUUUAAAAAAAAGUGUGGAAUGUAUGUGGAACAUAAAUGAAAUGAAUAAACAUCCAUUUACUUAUUAAAAGAAGCACAAUUAAGAAAAUCAACUUAAAGGACAUAAUGUUGCCUGCAGCGUUUAAAAUGUUAAUAAAGGCUGAAAUUGAAAAGAGCUAAAUGUUUAAUAAGUUAUGCGCUUACUUAUAAAGAGCUGUAGAAAAAAAAACAUGGUUGAAAACGAGCUGCUGCCACAACUCUAUUGGCUUAGCAAGAGCAACAACAACAACACUAACAACCUUGGCUUCAACUAACACAAAAUCAAAAUAGCGGUUAAUAGUAGAGUUCUA
Molecule: unclassified non-coding RNA, 970 nt
Filed under: Lucilia cuprina (Australian sheep blowfly)
Lineage: Eukaryota; Metazoa; Arthropoda; Insecta; Diptera; Calliphoridae
Description: calcium/calmodulin-dependent protein kinase type II alpha chain, transcript variant X6
Source: RNAcentral